UACGGGGGGGGCAAGCGUUGUUCGGAAUUACUGGGCGUAAAGGGCUUGUAGGUGGCCAACUAAGUCAGACGUGAAAUCCCUCGGCUUAACCGGGGAACUGCGUCUGAUACUGGAUGGCUUGAGUGUGGGAGAGGGAUGCGGAAUUCCAGGUGUAGCGGUGAAAUGCGUAGAUAUCUGGAGGAACACCGGUGGCGAAGGCGGUUCUCUGGGCCAGUACUGACGCUGAGGAGCGAAAGCGCGGGGAGCGAACAGG
Molecule: ribosomal RNA, 253 nt
Filed under: uncultured bacterium
Lineage: Bacteria
Description: partial 16S ribosomal RNA
Rfam family: Bacterial small subunit ribosomal RNA
Source: RNAcentral